AGGACGAACGCUGGCGGCGUGCUUAACACAUGCAAGUCGAGCGGAAAGGCCCUUCGGGGUACUCGAGCGGCGAACGGGUGAGUAACACGUGAGCAACCUGCCCUUAGCUCUGGGAUAGCUCCGGGAAACCGGAAUUAAUACCGGAUAUGACCUAGGCCGACAUCGGCCGUGGUGGAAAGGAUUCCGGCUAGGGAUGGGCUCGCGGCCUAUCAGCUUGUUGGUGGGGUAACGCCUACCAAGGCGACGACGGGUA
This 253-nucleotide ribosomal RNA is filed under the name uncultured bacterium. RNAcentral describes it as "partial small subunit ribosomal RNA". It matches the Rfam family "Bacterial small subunit ribosomal RNA", at positions 26 to 285 of the family's 1533-position model. The record is from RNAcentral.